Molecule: ribosomal RNA, 253 nt
Filed under: uncultured bacterium
Lineage: Bacteria
Description: partial 16S ribosomal RNA
Rfam family: Bacterial small subunit ribosomal RNA
Source: RNAcentral
UACAGAGGUCUCAAGCGUUGUUCGGAUUCAUUGGGCGUAAAGGGUGCGUAGGCGGCGCGGUAAGUCGGGUGUGAAAUCUCGGAGCUUAACUCCGAAACUGCAUUCGAUACUGCCGUGCUUGAGGACUGGAGAGGAGACUGGAAUUUACGGUGUAGCGGUGAAAUGCGUAGAUAUCGUAAGGAAGACCAGUGGCGAAGGCGGGUCUCUGGACAUUUCCUGACGCUGAGGCACGAAAGCCAGGGGAGCAAACGGG